Selaginella moellendorffii is the source of this 1463-nucleotide long non-coding RNA. RefSeq lists it as uncharacterized. Lineage: Eukaryota; Viridiplantae; Streptophyta; Lycopodiopsida; Selaginellales; Selaginellaceae. The transcript is spliced from 11 exons. The record is from RefSeq and is a predicted model, not a curated record.
AUGACAAAGUUUAAAAGUUGGAGCAUCUCGGACGCGCGCUCAGCGAGGAGCAGCGGGCCAGCCAUCGUGCUGCCAAGGAACGGCUGCCUCGAAAAUCCGCCGGCGCCGGCGCGCACUUGGACCAGAGGAAGAAGGUGUGCGGGGUGAGGCCGGAUCUGGAUGUGAACGCUGCUGUGUGUGGAGGGAAAGCAGGAGUUGGUCCCGACUCUUUGGACGAUUUUGAUGAUGACGCUUUCGAGGAGAUUGAUAGCUUUGACGCGAUGGAGGUUCUGCAGCAUGUCUCCGGAAGCUCAAUGUGUCCCAAAGGGAUGCAGCGCUGAGCAACAUUUAUAAGCCACUUCUGAUUGUUGCGGGGCCGGGAAGUGGAAAGACCCUUACAAUGGUCGCACGUAUUCUGACAGGUACGCAUUGGAGAUGGUGAAACGCUUAAGGUUUGUAGUCCCUGGCAAUCUGAUAUGGUCGAUUGUAUUUUGAACCAGAACAAUCUUUGUCGAGCCUAGUGACUGCUGUAUUGAAUAUGCUACCGCAGAGACGGGCUUUUGGAGCUCGUGCAGUUGUGGAUGAAUCGGGGGGAAAGCUCUUGAACUAGGAUGAAGAUUGUUGGACUGCGAGCAAAUUUUUCAUCUUUCUUUUGGAUGAUGUUUCGGAAUUUCUGAGUAAGCACCUUAGGAUCCAAGAGGAAGUGAAAGAAAAUCCUCGACCGCCGGGAUGCUCAGUGCUUCUGAGAGAACAUAUAACUGUUCGAGAGACCGAGAACUUCGAACUCGGCCGAGAAGAAAUCAUAGUUCAGUAACGUUGACAACGAUGCAUCAGUCGAAGGGACGGGAGUGAGACAGCGUGUUCAUUUUGAAGGCCAACGAGUUGGGAAACACCACUGCUUCACGAGUCGUCAUCUUUUGAGGAAGAGAGGAGAUUGUUCUACGUUCCAAUGACUUGUGGAGAAAUUAUAUAUAGUAUAUAUAGUGGUAAACUCAUAAAGACAGAUCUUGCAGCCAUCGCGAUUAUUAAGUGAAUUGCCGUGUCAGCAUUUGCAGUUCCAGGCAGUGCUUGCGAUUGUUUUUACGGAUUCUUUGCAGGGAAUAUCUGACUGUCCUGGCAAAGUUAAGCUAUUGCAACCUCCAGGCUCCGUGUCUAACUUGUCUAGAAGGGACGAGAGCGCGUUAGUGGAUUGGUCCGCGUUUUAGAAGUUUCAAUGUCUACCAUCGCGUCUAUAUUCUGCUUUCCAAGAUCCAAAACGUCUGCUCACUAAAGUUUGAUUGUAUAGCUAUCGACGAGCGGCUGCGAUAAAAAACUGCGAAGAACAAGGAUACAUUGCACGCGUUGAAACGUUCAUUGACAGAUAGUGUACCCCGAUCAGGUGAGAUUAAUUGGUCGAAACUACGUAGAUCAAGUCGUAUCUUUUUGUAUUUUUUUUCUGUUUUCGGUUGCACUGUGAAACAAUCGUCACGUCUUCAUGCGUCGAA